UUGAUUGUAAGCCUGUUCUGUACAUGAGGAGUGGUAUAAAAGCUUCCACUUCACAGUUCUGGCAGCACAGUUCGCCCAAUCGUAAAACCCUAAAACGCCAUGAACUAGCGCAUGAAGCAAACGAGAGGAAAGAUCUGCCCUUUAUCUUGUUUAUAUUCCGGAAUCUAUCAUCUGUUCGAAUCGAUUCCAAGUUCGCAUCUUUAGAGGUUCCAACUCUCGCUUUAGCUCUACUUUAGCACGCCGCGGAGUCACUUUUCAUGUCUGACUUAGAGGGAAUGGAACAAUUUUGGCCCGCAUCCUCUUGAUCUAAACUGGAGGGAUGGUCGGAGAUAUGCCAUGAGGAAGGAAGGGCCUUCCCACACCAGGUACGCGAACUCUUCCGUUUCCUUCCCAAUAUAUUUAAGGAGCAGGGCUUUAGUGUUGAUGGUAAAGAGGCGGAGGGAAGCUCGAUUAUUAUUUUUGACUCUGGAGACGUUUGUGUUUUGGUUUAGCCUUCGAGACAAGGCAAUAAAAGAUGAAAGUUUAGUUAUUUUUUAUGAUUUUGUAAUGGCUUCUUCAUUUAAAGAUCUUUCCAUAUUGAAACACCAUGGUUUCUAGUUGAAGAAGCACUCUAUGUAACCGUGAAAUCUUUAUUAUUCCUUGUUUUGCACAGAACAAACCCCAAAAUUAGUAGUUCUGUGCCCUCUGGUAUCAAAACUGAAGUUUUGUUUGCAAUAACCUUGCAUAAAUAAACUAAAUCCAGCACAAAUAUUAGCGAGUGAUCUUCUUGUUAGCUCUGCAUUUCUUUUUUUUUUGUACCCUACAAAAAAUUGAGGAAAUUUGUGCACAGAAGUUAUAUUUUGGGAUUUCUAAUAAAACAUAUAGUUCUGAGCUUAA
Molecule: long non-coding RNA, 876 nt
Organism: Dendrobium catenatum
Lineage: Eukaryota; Viridiplantae; Streptophyta; Magnoliopsida; Asparagales; Orchidaceae
Exons: 2
Source: RefSeq, a predicted model, not a curated record